UGAGAAUGGCAUGCUUCGCUUCGGUUUGUCUUCGAUGCAGGGUUGGCGUGCUUCUAUGGAAGAUGUUGUAACUAUUCUUUUCUUAUAAGCACCUAAUAAACUUAUAAGAGAUUUUCUAUAUGCUAGGUAUUAAAUACACAUCUCAAUAUAACUGCUCUCAUAAGUUAUAAACUAAUCUAAACAAAACCGGGUUUCUAUUUUGUUAGAUUAAUUUAGAAUGGGAUAGAAAUGCCGUUUUGAUCUUCUUUACAUAUAGAAUGCUG
This 263-nucleotide long non-coding RNA is filed under the name Lathyrus oleraceus (garden pea). RNAcentral's name for it is "Pisum sativum (pea) long non-coding RNA (PSAT_LNC036907)". The record is from RNAcentral. Lineage: Eukaryota; Viridiplantae; Streptophyta; Magnoliopsida; Fabales; Fabaceae.